Molecule: ribosomal RNA, 453 nt
Filed under: uncultured bacterium
Lineage: Bacteria
Description: bacterial SSU rRNA
Rfam family: Bacterial small subunit ribosomal RNA
Source: RNAcentral
GAUGAACGCUGGCGGCAGGCUUUACACAUGCAAGUCGAGCGGUAACGAUUAUUUUCGUAAGAUUAUAAGGCGACGAGCGGCAAACGAGUGAGUAACACGUAAGAACUAACUUUUAGCUUGGAAUAGCUAGUCGAAAGGCUAGAUAAUACCAAAUGUGAAUGCAAAUUUAAAGGCUUCGGCCACUAAAAGCAAGGCUUGCGUCCCAUCAGCUAGUUGGUAAGGUAAUUGCUUACCAAGGCUAAGACGGGUAGCUGGUCUGAGAGGAUGAUCAGCCACGCUGGAACUGUGACACGGUCCAGACAUCUACGGAUGGCAGCAGUGAGGAAUAUUCGGCAAUGGAGGAAACUCUGACCGAGCCAUGCCGCGUGCAGGACUAAGGCCUUAAAGGUUGUAAACUGCUGUGGUUGUCUACUAAUAAAUGAAGAGACAUCUAGAAAGAGGUUGCUAACUCUG